RNAcentral lists this ribosomal RNA (29 nucleotides) under Arrhenatherum elatius. Its description in RNAcentral is "partial 26S ribosomal RNA". Lineage: Eukaryota; Viridiplantae; Streptophyta; Magnoliopsida; Poales; Poaceae. The record is from RNAcentral.
GAGACCCCAGGUCAGGCGGGAAUACCCCG